UAAGUCAAAAAGCUUAAAUUUUAUUAAGGGACGAGAAGACCCUAUAGAACUUUAUUAAUUUAUUGGACCACAUAAUUUUUUUAUUUACUUUUGUGGUCCACAUCUUUUAAUUGUGUUGGGGUGACAUAGAAAUUUAAUUAACUUUCUUUUCUUAUAUUCAUUGAUUAGUGUAUUUUUAGAUCCAGGUUUAUCUUGAUUAUAAGUUUAAGUUACCUUAGGGAUAACAGCGUAAUUCUUUUGGAGAGUUCUAAUCGAUGAAAGAGUUUGCGACCUCGAUGUUGGAUUAAAAUUAGUAUUGGGAGUAGAAGAUCAAUUGCUAGGUCUGUUCGACCUUUAAAUUUUUACA
Molecule: ribosomal RNA, 346 nt
Filed under: Phymata americana metcalfi
Lineage: Eukaryota; Metazoa; Arthropoda; Insecta; Hemiptera; Phymatidae
Description: partial large subunit ribosomal RNA
Rfam family: Bacterial large subunit ribosomal RNA (bases 220-346)
Source: RNAcentral